RNAcentral lists this ribosomal RNA (486 nucleotides) under Triticum aestivum (bread wheat). Its description in RNAcentral is "partial small subunit ribosomal RNA". The record is from RNAcentral. Lineage: Eukaryota; Viridiplantae; Streptophyta; Magnoliopsida; Poales; Poaceae.
AUGGGUGCCGUAUUCCUUCUCAUAGAAAUACAAAAACGUAUCACCCACUUCCUACAAUCCGGUCUAAACCUUUGGUUAGGAUCCGCAGGAUCAACAACCAUAGCUGCACUGAGUACGGUAGAAUUCCCCGGUACGGUCAUUCAGGAAUUCCCCGGUUUGGUUUUGGUUUUGUCCAUAGGCUUUUCUUGGAGUACAUGUGUUGGUUUCAAGGAGAGUUUGUGUCGACCAAGGUGCUAUUCAAGGAAUUACCUAAAGAUUGGUCUUGUGAGAGGUUGUAUCCCUAUCAAAGAGCUGACGAAGGGGAUGAGCGGAAGAGGUCAUCUACUGGACGCGGUUCAACUAGCAGAGACUCUUGGAAAAUAUGGACUAAAAAGCCCCCAAGUUAGCGUAUUAUGGGGGGGCAUCAAGCACAUUCGGCAAAGAUUGAUGGGGAUCCCGUUGUUGCAUAGCUCAGGUCAGAGCAAGGUGCCAUCAGGCGUUCAAUAG